AGGAUGAACAUCGCAAAGCUCGAAGCCUCGAAGAAGACGCCACACAUCUUCUCCUCAGCGAGCAUGCUUUCCUUCGACGCCCACUAGAAGCCCGUGCUAACAGGUCUCUUAUCUCGCUCAGGUACCCGACACCCUUGCACAUGUUGACGAACACGUUAGGACCCUUAGUCUCCGGACCGAAGGCCCAGAUCUUCUUGGACAGAUCCUUGUCC
Molecule: small RNA, 212 nt
Filed under: Oryza sativa Japonica Group (Japanese rice)
Lineage: Eukaryota; Viridiplantae; Streptophyta; Magnoliopsida; Poales; Poaceae
Description: sRNA Os12g0203400
Source: RNAcentral